Molecule: ribosomal RNA, 246 nt
Filed under: uncultured bacterium
Lineage: Bacteria
Description: partial 16S ribosomal RNA
Rfam family: Bacterial small subunit ribosomal RNA
Source: RNAcentral
CGAGCUACCUGGUGACAGGAUGCGAAUCUCGAAAGCCGGUCUCAGUUCGGAUUGGAGGCUGAAACUCGCCUCCAUGAAGUUGGAUUCGCUAGUAAUCGCGCAUCAGCCAUGGCGCGGUGAAUACGUUCCCGGGCCUUGUACACACCGCCCGUCAAGCCAUGGGAGUUGGGGGUGCCUGAAGUACGUGACCGCAAGGAGCGUCCUAGGGCAAAACCGAUGACUGGGGCUAAGUCGUAACAAGGUAAC